CCCUUAGAUGUUCUGGGCCGCACGCGCGCUACACUGAUCAGUGCAACAAGCAUCCGUCCUUGGCCGACAGGCCCGGGCAAUCUUUGAACGCUGAUCGUGAUGGGGAUAGACUUUUGCAAUUUUUGGUCUUCAACGAGGAAUUCCUAGUAAACGCAAGUCAUCAACUUGCAUUGAUUACGUCCCUGCCCUUUGUACACACCGCCCGUCGCACCUACCGAUUGAAUGGUCCGGUGAAAUCUCGGGACGGCGGCUUGGUCGCUUGCGUCCGACUGCUGAAACUUGAUUAAACCAUAUCAUUUAGAGGAAGGUGAANUCGUAACA
This 321-nucleotide ribosomal RNA is filed under the name uncultured eukaryote. RNAcentral's name for it is "partial 18S ribosomal RNA". It matches the Rfam family "Eukaryotic small subunit ribosomal RNA", at positions 1470 to 1796 of the family's 1831-position model. The record is from RNAcentral.